This 77-nucleotide ribosomal RNA is filed under the name Enterococcus gallinarum. RNAcentral's name for it is "partial 23S ribosomal RNA". Lineage: Bacteria; Bacillati; Bacillota; Bacilli; Lactobacillales; Enterococcaceae. The record is from RNAcentral.
UCAGGUAGAUAGGUCAGAAGUGGAAGGCCAGUGAUGGUUGGAGCGGACUGAUACUAAUCGAUCGAGGACUUAACCAC